CCUACGGGUGGCUGCAGUGGGGGAUAUUGCACAAUGGGGGAAACCCUGAUGCAGCGACGCCGCGUGAGUGAAGAAGUAUUUCGGUAUGUAAAGCUCUAUCAGCAGGGAAGAAAAUGACAGUACCUGACCAAGAAGCCCCGGCUAACUACGUGCCAGCAGCCGCCGUAAUACGUAGGGGGGAAGCGUUAUCCGGGUUUAUUGGGGGUAAAGGGAGCGUAGACGGGUAUGCAAGUCUGGAGUGAAAGCCCGGGGCCUAACCCAGGGACUGCUUUGGAAACUGUGUAACUGGAGUACAGGAGGGGAAGGCGGAAUUCCUGGUGUAGCGGUGAAAUGCGUAGAUAUUAGGAGGAACACCAGCGGCGAAGGCGGCCUGCUGGACUGUAACUGACGUUGAGGCUCGAAAGCGUGGGGAGCAAACAGGAUUAGAUACCCGAGUAGUC
RNAcentral lists this ribosomal RNA (440 nucleotides) under uncultured bacterium. Its description in RNAcentral is "partial 16S ribosomal RNA". It matches the Rfam family "Bacterial small subunit ribosomal RNA", at positions 338 to 795 of the family's 1533-position model. The record is from RNAcentral.